RNAcentral lists this ribosomal RNA (484 nucleotides) under uncultured bacterium. RNAcentral's name for it is "partial 16S ribosomal RNA". It matches the Rfam family "Bacterial small subunit ribosomal RNA", at positions 29 to 507 of the family's 1533-position model. The record is from RNAcentral.
AUUGAACGCUGGCGGCAUGCUUUACACAUGCAAGUCGAACGGCAGCGCGGGCUUCGGCCUGGCGGCGAGUGGCGAACGGGUGAGUAAUGCAUCGGAACGUGCCCAGUAGUGGGGGAAAGCCCGGCGAAAGCCGGAUUAAUAUCGCAUACGACCUGAGGGUGAAAGCGGGGGACCGAAAGGCCUCGCGCUAUUGGAGCGGCCGAUGUCGGAUUAGCUAGUUGGUGGGGUAAAGGCUUACCAAGGCGACGAUCCGUAGCUGGUCUGAGAGGACGACCAGCCACACUGGGACUGAGACACGGCCCAGACUCCUACGGGAGGCAGCAGUGGGGAAUUUUGGACAAUGGGGGCAACCCUGAUCCAGCCAUGCCGCGUGCGGGAAGAAGGCCUUCGGGUUGUAAACCGCUUUUAUUCGGGAAGAAAUCCUCUGGGCUAAUACCCCGGGGGGAUGACGGUACCGGAAGAAUAAGCACCGGCUAACUACGUG